CUAAGGUAGCAUAAUCAUUUGUUAUUUAAUUGGUGACUGGAAUGAAAGGUUAAACUAAUUUAUUAGGUUUGUGAGGCUGAGUAGGAUCUUAAAGUUAAGGUAAGAAUUCUUUAAUUUUCUAGGGGACGAUAAGACCCUAGAAGCUUAACGAGCAUAAUGGUUUGUUUUAGAAGUUUGUUUGUUUUACUGGGGCGGUAAAAGUAAUUAAGCUAUUAUUUGUUACUUAAAGGAUCCUUUAAAUAAAGAUAGAGUGGAUAAGUUACUCUAGGGAUAA
This 274-nucleotide ribosomal RNA is filed under the name Gammarus balcanicus. RNAcentral's name for it is "partial 16S ribosomal RNA". Lineage: Eukaryota; Metazoa; Arthropoda; Malacostraca; Amphipoda; Gammaridae. The record is from RNAcentral.